UUUUAAAAUUUUCUUCUCUUUGUGUUGUUAAAAACUGACGUGACUAAAGAAUAACCAAAUAAUAACACGUGUUAUACCAUGUGUACUGCCUACUAACAUACAAUGACCAGUUUUUAAUGGUAAAAAUGGAUAAAUUUUUUAAUA
RNAcentral lists this microRNA precursor (144 nucleotides) under Gossypium hirsutum (cotton). RNAcentral's name for it is "MIR7502 microRNA precursor family". It matches the Rfam family "MIR7502 microRNA precursor family". The record is from Rfam by way of RNAcentral. Lineage: Eukaryota; Viridiplantae; Streptophyta; Magnoliopsida; Malvales; Malvaceae.